AUGCUGAGCUUGUUUUAUGCUCUUGUUCAAGACAUCUCGGAUCUGUUAAACCAUGAAGUCUCUUCUUUCACUGUGGAAAUAUGGGCGGCUGAGCGCCUGUGCUUCUUUGCCAAUCGGUUGGAUGCCUUGAGAAGUGUGCUGCGUUGCCAAUCGGUCGGAUGCCUUGAGAAGGGUCAAAUAGGGUGGACGAUUGAUUUGGAAUUUGGUUUUGUUAACGUCAACAGGAGGAGGAAUGGAGGAGAAGCCAAGCCAAGGAGAGGACGAAGAUUUGAGCCUAGGACACUGGGUGUCGAUAACGGUAAGGUUUCAGGGUCUCAAGGAGCGACUCGGGAAUCAAAACUAUUUCAAACCAUUUAUUAA
RNAcentral lists this ribosomal RNA (360 nucleotides) under Triticum aestivum (bread wheat). Its description in RNAcentral is "partial small subunit ribosomal RNA". The record is from RNAcentral. Lineage: Eukaryota; Viridiplantae; Streptophyta; Magnoliopsida; Poales; Poaceae.